Molecule: long non-coding RNA, 936 nt
Organism: Paramisgurnus dabryanus
Lineage: Eukaryota; Metazoa; Chordata; Actinopteri; Cypriniformes; Cobitidae
Source: RefSeq, a predicted model, not a curated record
CAUGAUAUUAGAUUUAAACACUUAAUACAUUUUUAAAUCAAUCACUUUGUCUCUGCACAAUGAACAUUAUCAAAUAUUAUUAAUGUUGUAAAAUAUAUUGUUCAUUGUUAGUUCAUAUUAGCUAAGGCAUUACCAAAUGUUAAGGAAUAAACUCUUAUAGUAAAGUGUUACUAAAUUUUCUUUUACCAUUUCCUUCACAAUGUCUACUUAUUUCUAUGGCUAACAGAUUUUGUAACAUUUGUCUUUUUUACAGUCUUACCAUUGCUUGUAAGCUGGAUUGGGUAAGAUGGAUCAUCUUUAAAGGCACCAGGAGUUAAGGCAGAUGUGGAGGCACAACGUGUGAUACCAGACACACACCAAGCACAUUAUGUUCGGACAUUCAAUCAUGACAUGAUCCAUGUGGAUGCUGUCCAUUGAGGAAAGAGUUUGUUCAGCGGUUUCUGGAUAGAAUUAAUUCCAAAGAUGGGAAAAGUGCACAUCCAGACAAGGAGCAAGCAAAAAGACAAGGAACUUGGUGCAGAGAAAAGCUGUGGCCAUUAACCCCCAUGUGAACAGCUUCAUGCAGUCCCUGAUUGAGUUCGAAUGGACGACUUCAAAGUAAAGGCCACUGUGGUCUGUCUGCCACAGUUUAAUGCAUUUAUUUUUAGUGUUAAAUGAAAUUUAAGUAGAAUAUUUAAAACUAUGGGCCAGUGUUCUUUUUACCACAGUGAAAUGUUACCUUUUAGUCGAUGAUGGACUUUAAACUGAAAACUUCAAACUAUGGAACAGUGUUCUAUUUGCCAGAGUUAAAUAUGUUACAGCAGGGGUCUCCAAACUUGUUUAUACUUGUUGAUUUUAUUUUAUGUUACUUGAUUAUAUGUUUAUUAUUGUUUAAAAUCUUGUUUUAAAUAUGUUUGUUUCAAUUAAAUGUUUUUUUAAAUAAAAUUUUGAUACAUA